CGGUUUAAUAAGUCUCUAGUUUAAUUUCAACGCUUAACGUUGUCCUGCUAGAGACUGUUUGACUAGAGUGAGAUAGAGGUAAGCGGAAUUCCAUGUGUAGCGGUAAAAUGUGUAAAUAUGGAGGAACACCAGAGGCGUAGGCGGCUUACUGGGUCUUUACUGACGCUGAUGCACGAAAGCGUGGGGAGCAAACAGGAUUAGAUACCCUGGUAGUCCACGCCGUAAACUAUGAGUACCAAGUGUCGGGGUUAAACUCGGUACUGAAGUUAAACACAUUAAGUACUCCGCCUGAGUAAUACGUACGCAAGUAUGAAACUUAAAGGAAUUGACGGGAUAUCGCACAAGCGGUGGAUCAGGCUAUCUCGGCCGAAGAAAGACCAACAGCCUGACAGGGGCACGGCAUACUCUGCCCCGCUCUAGUAGGAAUUCGAAGACUAUAAAGUACGCAGGUGGUCCAUCAACAUAUGCUGUCUCUGCUAGCCAGAAAUGGGCUUAAGUAGCACCACAGGAGAUUUUUCGGACAAUGACAAGGCAAAAUAUAUUGCUACAAAUGUAUCAGAACUGAACAUGACCAAGACGGGGUUUGUACACACCGCCCGUCAAAUCGGCAUGAGCUCAAUGAUCUGAUGGAUAAGGCUGAUAAAACUUUGAUUACAAAGAAAAACUUAAAAGCGAGAUUUUGACUGGUCUGAAAAUGGCGAUUGAAGUUCUGAUCUGCGAUUGCAAAAUACCUGGGCUAGCCUUGGUCCGAUAUUCGUGGGGAACUUACUUGUCACACCGAAUACCCAGACGCGUUGGCGGACACCGCCCGUCAAA
Molecule: unclassified non-coding RNA, 816 nt
Filed under: Candidatus Phytoplasma palmicola
Lineage: Bacteria; Bacillati; Mycoplasmatota; Mollicutes; Acholeplasmatales; Acholeplasmataceae
Description: partial 16S-23S ribosomal RNA intergenic spacer
Rfam family: Bacterial small subunit ribosomal RNA (bases 1-653)
Source: RNAcentral